Long non-coding RNA from Puntigrus tetrazona (Sumatra barb), 429 nucleotides. RefSeq lists it as uncharacterized. The record is from RefSeq and is a predicted model, not a curated record. NCBI's taxonomy places the organism in Eukaryota, Metazoa, Chordata, Actinopteri, Cypriniformes, Cyprinidae. The transcript has 2 exons.
UGAGCUCCUGCAGAACGUCUCUGGCCUUGUCCUCCAGUCCAUCCAGAUCCUGAGCUUUCUCCGCCAGAAUGUUCUGAUUUUCCACGAACGAUCGCUCCAGCUCUGGGAGAGUUAAAGGGGAAGAAAAGUGAGGAAUCGCAGCUGCUCGGCCUUCUGACGCGCAUCAACUACACCUGCUGCCUUCUGAUCUAUCAGACCACUGGCCAGUUGGUACUUCGGCUGCACAAGUGAGUCAAACUCCUAAAAUACGCACACACAAAAAAUCCACCUGUGAGGCUCGAAAGCGUGCAAGAGAGUAUAAUAUGUAUUCAAGAACAUCAUGUAUUUAAUGCCUGUGUCAUUUCUCAUUUUUCAACAUUUUCCUAACACUUUAUGUUCCCCAAAACAAUGUUUUCCAAUACCUAAAUUAAAACCAUGUUCAGCAUAGCA